Molecule: non-coding RNA, 1846 nt
Organism: Punica granatum (pomegranate)
Lineage: Eukaryota; Viridiplantae; Streptophyta; Magnoliopsida; Myrtales; Lythraceae
Source: RefSeq, a predicted model, not a curated record
AUGUCAUCCACUUUACUCUCCUGCUUCCCCCGAACCCAGCAAAGCAACAGCAAACCCUGAAGCAGAGCAAACCUGAAGCACACCUACUCGAACCCUCCUCUGAUUUCGAUUCCUCCCUCGACAUAGUGGAAUUGGGUUGAGGUGUUGAUCGGAAAAUCACUGCCACUCUACUACUAGAGCAAUCAGCAACAGCAAACCCGAAGCUCGCAGAUCAGAACGGAACCAAAGCAGCUGGGGUUGAACUCUCCUUCUGAUCGAAAAAUCUCCCCGGAAUCCCCCGCCACUCUACAGUCGGAAAUUGCUUGUCUUUGUUUAUAUCAUGUAUGUGCUCUUGGUAUAAAAAAAUGGAACGGAGUUAUGCUUCUGUUAAUUCCUAGGUGACCAAGAGUGGCAAAAGGAAAUGGACUCUGGCUGAGGAUGCAAUACUUAUAUCUUGCAUGAUUGAUCUAAGGAGUAUGGGCACCUACAAUACCGACACUAAGUUUAAGUCUUGCUACUUGGCAGAACUUGAGAAAAUGCUUUUGGAAAAGCUCCCAAAUUGCGAUAUGAAUGCGAGACCUCGCAUUGAAUCUCGACCGAAGACACUGAAAAAGGAAUGGGCUAUCGUGUAUGAUAUGAUGCUAAAUACAUCAGGCUUUAGAUGAGAUUCAACAAGGAAGAUGGUAACAAUGAAAGACGAUGUUUGGGAGGCUUAUGUUGUGACUCACAAAGAAGCCGCUCCAUUUAGAUUGAAAAAAUUUCCCCAUUUCGAAUAAUUAUCUUUGAUAUAUGCGAAGGAUCGAGCUACUAGAAAGGAUGCUCAAGCUGUUGAAUAUAUUCUCAAAGAGCUGGAGAUUGAAGAUUUGACUGGAGCAGCCGAAGAAGCUGAAGUGAAUCAUUCAAAUCAAAAUGAAUCUGCCAAUGCGAAUAUCCCCACAUCAAGAGACGUUUCUUGUGCUCAUCUACCACCUAGAAAGGAAUCGGGAAGUGGUUCUUCAGGAAGAAAGAGGAAAAAAAUGAAGUUGACUUCUCAACAAUUUCUGAAGCCGUGAAUUCUAUGGCAGCCGACAUGAAAGAUGCUUGUUUGAUGCUCUCAAAGAGUGUUCACUUUGACAUCGUCCAAGAGAAGUUCCUUGAACUUCCAGGAGCUCUUCGUAGUGUUGAUGGCCUUACUUUAGCGAAGUGCGCAUGGCUAUUCGAAAGUUCGAAAACCAUCCAAAUGAAGUCUUGCUAUUUUUUGGUACCGAUCUUGAAGACCGCUUGGAAAUGGUUCAGGAUUUCCUUGCAAAUCAGUAAAUGAGGACUACAAGUUAAACUUCUUUGUGGAGUUUUUUUAGGCUUUUGCUGUUAAGGUAAAAAUGAAAUUGCUCUAAUGCUGAAAUAGUAGUUUGGUUCGUUUGUGCAAUAAUAAUAGCCGUGAACGUGAUUUGGUAUUUAUAUUUUAGCAGCUAUUUGUUGAGUGUUGUUUUGGUAUUUAUAUUUUGGCAGCUAUCUUUUGAGUGGUGCUAUAAUGGUGUAAUGGAAGAAGCCAUGAAGUUUGUUUAGUGCCACUGCACCUUUUUGUUGGUGAAAGAAUGAAAUACAAUUUGCAGGGGAUGUUUUGUUCAAAGUAUGAAGCACCGCGAUGUACCAGGUUGGUGGUGUUGCCAGAAGUAUGAUUAGUAUAGCUAUUAUAACUUUUGAAAUGUACACAAAUAUGCAGAAAUGACUAAAUGCUUUGUACACUUAUAGCCCCUAACCAUUAAUUGUUACUGUUAAGUUGUAUAUUAGUUAUGGUGUAAACAUAGUUACAAGUUUGUAUAUAAGAUUCUAUGGUUAAUUUUAGUGUCGUUGCGUUAUUGAAAAUAUGUUUUAAGCAAAGUAUUUA